UACGGAGGGGGCUAGCGUUGUUCGGAAUUACUGGGCGUAAAGCGCACGUAGGCGGACUGUUAAGUCGGGGGUGAAAUCCUGGGGCUCAACCUCAGAAUUGCCUCCGAUACUGGCAGUCUCGAGUGCGGGAGAGGUGAGUGGAAUUCCCAGUGUAGAGGUGAAAUUCGUAGAUAUUCGGAAGAACACCAGUGGCGAAGGCGACUUACUGGACACAUACUGACGCUGAGGUGCGAAAGCGUGGGGAGCGAACGAG
RNAcentral lists this ribosomal RNA (253 nucleotides) under uncultured bacterium. RNAcentral describes it as "partial 16S ribosomal RNA". It matches the Rfam family "Bacterial small subunit ribosomal RNA", at positions 524 to 776 of the family's 1533-position model. The record is from RNAcentral.